UCACAAGUUGUAGUCGAGAGUUGAAAGC
Molecule: small RNA, 28 nt
Filed under: Bombyx mori (domestic silkworm)
Lineage: Eukaryota; Metazoa; Arthropoda; Insecta; Lepidoptera; Bombycidae
Description: ovarian small RNA-24975
Source: RNAcentral